CACGUAGGGCGCGAGCGUUGUCCGGAAUUAUUGGGCGUAAAGAGCUCGUAGGCGGCCUGUUGCGUCCGCUGUGAAAGCCCGGGGCUUAACCCCGGUCGGCAGUGGAUACGGGCAGGCUAGAGGUAGGUAGGGGAGAAUGGAAUUCCCGGUGUAGCGGUGAAAUGCGCAGAUAUCGGGAGGAACACCGGUGGCGAAGGCGGUUCUCUGGGCCGAUCUGACGCUGAGGAGCGAAAGCGUGGGGAGCGAACAGG
This 251-nucleotide ribosomal RNA is filed under the name uncultured bacterium. Its description in RNAcentral is "partial 16S ribosomal RNA". It matches the Rfam family "Bacterial small subunit ribosomal RNA", at positions 524 to 776 of the family's 1533-position model. The record is from RNAcentral.